RNAcentral lists this ribosomal RNA (484 nucleotides) under uncultured bacterium. RNAcentral describes it as "partial 16S ribosomal RNA". It matches the Rfam family "Bacterial small subunit ribosomal RNA", at positions 29 to 507 of the family's 1533-position model. The record is from RNAcentral.
AUUGAACGCUGGCGGAAUGCUUUACACAUGCAAGUCGAGCGGCAGCACGGGGGCAACCCUGGUGGCGAGCGGCGAACGGGUGAGUAACACAUCGGAACAUGCCCAGUCGUGGGGGAUAACACUUCGAAAGAAGUGCUAAUACCGCAUACGUCCUGAGGGAGAAAGCGGGGGAUCGCAAGACCUCGCGCGAUUGGAGUGGCCGAUGUCAGAUUAGCUAGUUGGUGGGGUAAAGGCCUACCAAGGCAAAGAUCUGUAGCUGGUCUGAGAGGAUGAUCAGCCACACUGGCACUGAGAAACGGCCCAGACUCCAAGGGGAGGCAGCAGUGGGGAAUAUUGAGCAAUGGGGGCAAACCGGAACCAGCCAUGGCGCGUGAGUGAAGAAGAACUUAGGGUGGUAAAGCUCUUUCGGAAGGAGCAAAACGAAGAGCUCUAACAAAGCCAGCAAAUAAAGGUACCUGAAAAAAAAGCGCCGGAUAAAAACGUG